CCUACGGGAGGCAGCAGUGAGGAAUAUUGGUCAAUGGGCGGGAGCCUGAACCAGCCAAGUCGCGUGAGGGAAGAAGGUACUGCGUAUCGUAAACCUCUUUUGCCAGGGAACAAGGGCCGGGACUAGUCCCCGUACGAGGGUACCUGGAGAAAAAGCCUUGGCCUACUCCGUGCCCGCAGCCCGGGUAAUAAGGAGGAUGCGAGCGUUAUCCGGAUUUAUUGGGUUUAAAGGGUGCUUAGGCGGACUGUUAAGUCAGCGGUAAAAGCUCGGGGCUCAACCCCGGCGAGCCGUUGAAACUGGCUGCCUUGAGAGGUCGAGAGGUAUGCGGAAUGCGCGGUGUAGCGGUGAAAUGCUUAGAUAUUGCGCAGAACUCCGAUUGCGAAGGCAGCAUACCGGCGGCGAUCUGACGCUGAGGCACGAAAGCGUGGGUAUCGAACAGGAUUAGAUACCCCAGUAGUC
This 459-nucleotide ribosomal RNA is filed under the name uncultured bacterium. Its description in RNAcentral is "partial 16S ribosomal RNA". It matches the Rfam family "Bacterial small subunit ribosomal RNA", at positions 338 to 795 of the family's 1533-position model. The record is from RNAcentral.